RNAcentral lists this ribosomal RNA (863 nucleotides) under uncultured bacterium. RNAcentral's name for it is "bacterial SSU rRNA". It matches the Rfam family "Bacterial small subunit ribosomal RNA", at positions 61 to 922 of the family's 1533-position model. The record is from RNAcentral.
GUCGAGGGGCAGCACGGUUUUCGGACUGGUGGCGACCGGCGAACGGGUGGGUGCCGCGCAUGAAACCUACCCACUACAGGGGGAUAGCCCGUGGAAACAUGGAUUAAUACCCCAUAAUACAGGGGGCUCGCAUGAGUCUAUUUGUUAAAGAUUUAUUGGUAGUGGAUGGGCAUGCGUCUGAUUAGUUAGUCGGUGAGGUAACGGCUCACCAAGACUGCGAUCAGUAGCGGGUCUGAGAGGAUGAUCCGCCACACUGGCACUGAGAUACGGGCCAGACUCCUACGGGAGGCAGCAGUAGGGAAUAUUGGUCAAUGGGCGAGAGCCUGAACCAGCCAUGCCGCGUGCAGGAUGACGGCCUUCUGGGUUGUAAACUGCUUUUAUCAGGGAAGAAAACGUCCAUGCGUGGAUAAUUGACGGUACCUGAAGAAUAAGCACCGGCUAACUCCGCGCCAGCAGCCGCGGUAAUACGGAGGGUGCGAGCGUUGUCCGGAUUUAUUGGGUUUAAAGGGUGUGUAGGCGGUGCUUUAAGUCAGUGGUGAAAGCCCACAGCUCAACUGUGGAACUGCCAUUGAUACUAUUGCACUUGAGUACGGACGAGGUGGGCGGAAUUUAUGGUGUAGCGGUGAAAUGCAUAGAUACCAUAAAGAACACCGAUAGCGUAGGCAGCUCACUAGACCGUAACUGACGCUGAGGCACGAAAGCGUGGGGGAGCAAACAGGAUUAGAUACCCUGGUAGUCCACGCUGUAAACGAUGAAGACUCGCUGUUGGGCGAUAUACAGUCAGCGGGCAAGCAAAGCGUUAAGUCUUCCACCUGGGGAGUACGAUCGCAAGAUUGAAACUCCAAGGAAUUUGACGGGGGUCC